This 429-nucleotide ribosomal RNA is filed under the name Chloroflexota bacterium. RNAcentral's name for it is "Chloroflexi bacterium partial 16S ribosomal RNA". It matches the Rfam family "Bacterial small subunit ribosomal RNA", at positions 355 to 776 of the family's 1533-position model. Lineage: Bacteria; Bacillati; Chloroflexota. The record is from RNAcentral.
UGGGGAAUAUUGCACAAUGGGCGCAAGCCUGAUGCAGCCAUGCCGCGUGUGUGAAGAAGGCCUUCGGGUUGUAAAGCACUUUCAGCGGGGAGGAAGGCGGUGAGGUUAAUAACCUCACCGAUUGACGUUACCCGCAGAAGAAGCACCGGCUAACUCCGUGCCAGCAGCCGCGGUAAUACGGAGGGUGCAAGCGUUAAUCGGAAUUACUGGGCGUAAAGCGCACGCAGGCGGUCUGUCAAGUCGGAUGUGAAAUCCCCGGGCUCAACCUGGGACCUGCAUUGGAAAGUGGCAGGCUAGAGUCUUGUAGAGGAGGGUAGAAUUCCAGGUGUAGCGGUGAAAUGCGUAGAGAUCUGGAGGAAUACCGGUGGCGAAGGCGGCCCCCUGGACAAAGACUGACGCUGAGGUGCGAAAGCGUGGGGAGCAAACAGG